RNAcentral lists this ribosomal RNA (440 nucleotides) under uncultured bacterium. RNAcentral's name for it is "partial 16S ribosomal RNA". It matches the Rfam family "Bacterial small subunit ribosomal RNA", at positions 338 to 795 of the family's 1533-position model. The record is from RNAcentral.
CCUACGGGAGGCAGCAGUGGGGGAUAUUGCACAAUGGGGGGAACCCUGAUGCAGCGACGCCGCGUGUGGGAAGAAGGUCCUCUGGAUUGUAAACCACUGUCCCCAGGGACGAAACUGACGGUACCUGGGGCGGAAGCUCCGGCUAACUACGUGCCAGCAGCCGCGGUAAUACGUAGGGAGCGAGCGUUGUCCGGAAUUACUGGGUGUAAAGGGAGCGUAGGCGGGGAUGCAAGUUGGGUGUCAAAACUACCGGCUCAACUGGUAGUCGCACUCAAAACUGCAACUCUUGAGUGAAGUAGAGGCAGGCGGAAUUCCUAGUGUAGCGGUGAAAUGCGUAGAGAUUAGGAGGAACACCAGUGGCGAAGGCGGCCUGCUGGGCUUUGACUGACGCUGAGGCUCGAAAGUGUGGGGAGCAAACAGGAUUAGAUACCCGAGUAGUC